Molecule: ribosomal RNA, 267 nt
Filed under: uncultured bacterium
Lineage: Bacteria
Description: partial 16S ribosomal RNA
Rfam family: Bacterial small subunit ribosomal RNA
Source: RNAcentral
GAUGGCGACCGGCGCACGGGUGAGUAACACGUAUCCAACCUGCCGAUGACUCGGGGAUAGCCUUUCGAAAGAAAGAUUAAUACCCGAUGGCAUAGUUCUUCCGCAUGGUGGAACUAUUAAAGAAUUUCGGUCAUCGAUGGGGAUGCGUUCCAUUAGGCAGUUGGUGGGGUAACGGCCCACCAAACCUUCGAUGGAUAGGGGUUCUGAGAGGAAGGUCCCCCACAUUGGAACUGAGACACGGUCCAAACUCCUACGGGAGGCAGCAUG